Long non-coding RNA from Pteronotus mesoamericanus, 415 nucleotides. RefSeq lists it as uncharacterized. The record is from RefSeq and is a predicted model, not a curated record. NCBI's taxonomy places the organism in Eukaryota, Metazoa, Chordata, Mammalia, Chiroptera, Mormoopidae. The transcript is spliced from 2 exons.
AAAAAAAAAAGAGAGAGAGAAAGAAUGAAACUUGCCCGGUGUAUCUUGUGGUCUGGAGCUUAUCGUCCUAUCUGUGGCUGUGGAGUCCAAGACAAAGCAGAACAGGCAGCCGCAUUCAAGGAAGAUCUGAACACACAGCGGAGAUGCAUCUGUUUCCCGUAGAGCUGAUAGUCACACACGCAGAUGUCUAUCACUCAAGUCCUCUGACAUCUCAAAAUUACUGCCUGAGACGAACGAGGGCUGCGGAUCACAAUGUCCUUAAAUUUCCCCAAAUUUGACAACAUUGAGAGGACUGGCGAGCGUAUCCCCAUUUAAGAAAGGUUGUAUUUCUAGGUGACACAUCUUUCUGGAGUACAUUUGGCUAUAUUUAGUAAAGUGCUGAUUAACCCUUCUUGAUCUUUUCUCCUGACAAGAA